This 440-nucleotide ribosomal RNA is filed under the name uncultured bacterium. RNAcentral's name for it is "partial 16S ribosomal RNA". It matches the Rfam family "Bacterial small subunit ribosomal RNA", at positions 338 to 795 of the family's 1533-position model. The record is from RNAcentral.
CCUACGGGUGGCAGCAGUGGGGAAUAUUGCACAAUGGGGGAAACCCUGAUGCAGCGACGCCGCGUGAGUGAAGAAGUAUUUCGGUACGUAAAGCUCUAUCAGCAGGGAAGAAAAUGACGGUACCUGACUAAGAAGCCCCGGCUAACUACGUGCCAGCAGCCGCGGUAAUACGUAGGGGGCAAGCGUUAUCCGGAUUUACUGGGUGUAAAGGGAGCGUAGACGGCAGCGCAAGUCUGGAGUGAAAUCCCAUGGCUUAACCAUGGAACUGCUUUGGAAACUGUGCAGCUAGAGUGCAGGAGAGGUAAGCGGAAUUCCUAGUGUAGCGGUGAAAUGCGUAGAUAUUAGGAUGAACACCAGUGGCGAAGGCGGCUUACUGGACUGUAACUGACGUUGAGGCUCGAAAGCGUGGGGAGUAAACAGGAUUAGAUACCCCUGUAGUC